CGCCUUUUGUAAUAUACACAUAAAAGGUCCUGCCUGCCCAAUGACUUGUUUUAAUGGCCGCGGUAUUAUGACCGUGCAAAGGUAGCGUAAUCAUUUGUCUUCUAAAUAAAGACCAGUAUGAAUGGCAAAACGAAAGCUUCACUGUCUCCCUAGCCUAAUCAAUGAAAUUGAUUUCCCCGUGCAGAAGCGGGGAUGUAAAUAUAAGACGAGAAGACCCUGUGGAGCUUAAAACUUUGUUUUAGGUUGGGGCGACCAUGAGGCAUAAUGCAACCCUCACGACGAAAACAAGAAGGACACUUCAAACAUUGACCCAAUAUUUGAUCAACGAACCAAGUUACCCCAGGGAUAACAGCGCAAUCUACUCAAAGAGUCCAUAUCGACGAGUGGGUUUACGACCUCGAUGUUGGAUCAGGGCCCCCAAACAGCGCAACAGCUGUUAAAGGUUCGUUUGUUCAACGAUUAAAGUCCU
Molecule: ribosomal RNA, 469 nt
Filed under: Bolitoglossa ninadormida
Lineage: Eukaryota; Metazoa; Chordata; Amphibia; Caudata; Plethodontidae
Description: partial large subunit ribosomal RNA
Rfam family: Bacterial large subunit ribosomal RNA
Source: RNAcentral